RNAcentral lists this ribosomal RNA (159 nucleotides) under Melampodium leucanthum. RNAcentral describes it as "5.8S ribosomal RNA". It matches the Rfam family "5.8S ribosomal RNA". Rfam says of the family: 5.8S ribosomal RNA (5.8S rRNA) is a component of the large subunit of the eukaryotic ribosome. It is transcribed by RNA polymerase I as part of the 45S precursor that also contains 18S and 28S rRNA. Lineage: Eukaryota; Viridiplantae; Streptophyta; Magnoliopsida; Asterales; Asteraceae. The record is from RNAcentral. RNAcentral also lists the same sequence under 1 other name.
CGACUCUCGGCAACGGAUAUCUCGGCUCACGCAUCGAUGAAGAACGUAGCAAAAUGCGAUACUUGGUGUGAAUUGCAGAAUCCCGUGAACCAUCGAGUUUUUGAACGCAAGUUGCGCCCGAAGCCAUCUGGUCGAGGGCACGUCUGCCUGGGCGUCACG